This 253-nucleotide ribosomal RNA is filed under the name uncultured bacterium. RNAcentral's name for it is "partial 16S ribosomal RNA". It matches the Rfam family "Bacterial small subunit ribosomal RNA", at positions 524 to 776 of the family's 1533-position model. The record is from RNAcentral.
UACGUAGGGUGCGAGCGUUAAUCGGAAUUACUGGGCGUAAAGCGUGCGUAGACGGUUACGUAAGUCGGGUGUGAAAGCCCCGGGCUCAACCUGGGAAUUGCAUUCGAGACUGCGCAGCUAGGGUGCGGAAGAGGGAAGCGGAAUUUCCGGUGUAGCGGUGAAAUGCGUAGAUAUCGGAAGGAACAUCAGUGGCGAAAGCGGCUUCCUGGUCCAGCACCGACGUUCAGGCACGAAAGCGUGGGGAGCAAACAGG